GACGAACCGUGCAAACGUUGUUCGGAAUCACUGGGCUUAAAGGGCGCGUAGGCGGGCAAGCAAGUCCGGGGUGAAAUCUUUCGGCCCAACCGGAAAAGGGCCUUGGAUACUGCUUGUCUGGAGGGAGGUAGGGGCAGACGGAACUUCCGGUGGAGCGGUGAAAUGCGUUGAUAUCGGAAAGAACACCAACGGCGAAAGCACUCUGCUGGGCCGACACUGACACUGAGAGACGAAAGCUAGGGGAGCGAAUGGG
This 253-nucleotide ribosomal RNA is filed under the name uncultured bacterium. RNAcentral describes it as "partial 16S ribosomal RNA". It matches the Rfam family "Bacterial small subunit ribosomal RNA", at positions 524 to 776 of the family's 1533-position model. The record is from RNAcentral.